RNAcentral lists this long non-coding RNA (1915 nucleotides) under Oreochromis niloticus (Nile tilapia). Its description in RNAcentral is "lncRNA (ENSONIG00000042496.1)". Lineage: Eukaryota; Metazoa; Chordata; Actinopteri; Cichliformes; Cichlidae. The record is from RNAcentral.
CUGGCCCUAAAGGUAGAAGACGUUCCGUAAAAGUUCGAGUAGUGUUUAUAUGUAAAAACUUGUAUUAUAUUUAUCAUAAACGUGAAAUAUUUUUUAAAAAAUUUUUAAAAUUUUUUUAUUUAUUUAAUUUUUUACAAAGGUAGGAAAAUUACUCAGAGGAGACAGGUGCAACACCUUAGCUACACAGAAAGGAACUAGGACAGCCUUUGAUGUUAGCUAGCAACAGCUAUGGCUGCUGUGAAGCCUGCAGUGUUGUUUGCAACACGGUAGUCCAAGAAACAAGUGACUUAUCAAGUCGGCAGCAUGACAUGAUUCCUGUUCCAUCAUUUCCCUCUGAUUCCUCUCAGAUAUUCAGGCAGAGAGGAUUGUGCUGAAUAAUGCAUGGCACAUCACCGCGACAGACAGUGUUGCCAUUUGAAUUAUGAACACAUCGGGGUGAGACACUAACUCGCUCUGACUAGCCUGAGGUGAAAAGAGAGAAGAAAGGCGGAAAAAAAAACCGAGUCUCAUCCUUAGCUUUUGCUGCUUCACCUUUAUUGGAUGUGAUGGAUGAGAGGAACUGUGGACAUCUUGGAUACUUUCAUGAGCCUUGUUAAAACACUGUGAAACCUGAAGGCUGGCAGCGCUGCCUGAGGAACGUGCUGCUGUCACCUCGCCUCAUAAAGCACGUAAAUGUUUCUGAUUUGCAGUCGAAUUGGACUUUUUCUCUUUUGAUAGUUUGUGGAAGUGUGUGUGCUUGUACAUGCGUGAAAGUGCAAAUGAUGGGUAUAAGGCUUCCAGUGUGCCUACCUCUUUUUGGCACUUCCUUUUUUCUUUUUUUUUUUUCUUAUAUAGCAUUAGACUCCAGCAAAAACCCAGCAUUAGCUGCCUGGAAAUUUAUUAAUACAAAAUGAAAGAACAGUCCCUCAGCUCAGUUCUACUUAUACACUUUGACUAUAAGUUACAGUAUAUCAUACAAUUCGAUAAUGAAAACUUGACACGCCCAUAUCACGAUAAGUUAUUGCAGUGUGAGCUCAGUUUAAUUAUUGAGUUAAGAGUAGUUUAGUGCUUCGGCAGCAAUCAUGGUAAGCAGCAUGAAUGAGGAGGGCACUGAGAGGAUGGAUCUAUGCAGGUUAGACUUUGGAAAGUACCCCUCAUGUCUUAGUGUGUGGUGAGUUCACUGAUCCACUUCUUUACCUGGAAAAAAAAGGUUUCUCCUGUUAGUCUCCUGCAAUCUAACACAGAUAUUUUUGCUCUUUUAUAACUGUAACUACAUUUCUCUGAGAGUGUACUAUGCGUGUAUGGUUGUAACUAUUCAUAGCGUCUGUGAGUGCAGGCUUUUUUUUUUUUUUUGAAUAGUAAAGUGACUUGAGCCGAAUGCCACCCUGCCGUAAUUCAUAUGGUUUGCUGCCGACUCUGGAAAAAGUCACUUUCUAAAUUAAAAAUCUAAAGUGCUACCUUAAUGAUAAUAGAUGGCUAGUAUGGCUAUCGGGUAACUGCUAAUAAUUAAAUGGCUAAUGGUAACAUGUGCUCCAGCUAGAGCUGAGCGAUAUAAGAUUUUUUCAUAUCACGAUAUGUUUUUUUCAUUUCAGGCGAUAACGAUAUAUAUCACGAUAUAAGCCAAAUAACUAUAUUUGUAAGAUUUAAAUGUGCCGUUGCUCACAAGUAAAAUGUGAAAUAAUCAGCAGCUUGUUUUAAUUAAAAUAUUUAUUUCCCAUAAUAAGUUCAACAGGGUAGAUGUACUUAAGGAACAUGAGACUUCAGUUUCAGAUAAAUAAAGGCAAAUAUUGCAAACUACACAAAACGCAGCUGCUAAAGCGUUUAAGUUUCAAAAUAGAACAAACAAAACAGACAAAACUAAAUUGUCAAUUCCACUUAGAAACAAAAUAUUAAUUCUAAAAAUAAAUCUUAGGUCGUUUUACAGAAGAACAGACAA